AUCUUGGAAAUACGUUUUCAUUUCUCUUGGGUGUAUGCCUAGGAGUGGAACUGCUGGAUUGUAUGGUAGCUCUAUGUACAACCUUUUGAGGAACUACAAGACUGUUUUCCACAGUGGCUGCACCAUUUACAUUCCCAUGAAGAGUGUUUGAGGUUAAUGAACACCUUGGUACAUGCUUUUGGUGGAAACAAGCAGUCAUCUGUGUUGAGAUCUACCCAUGAUUUGAAUUGCUGGGUUCUUCUGUAUGUUGAGCUUUAGUUAAAUGCUACCAGUUUUCCAAAAUGGAUAAACCAGUAGUACCACCAGCUGUGUAUGAGAGUUCUAGUUCCAUUAUCCUCAUGAAUGCUUACUGUUGCCAGCAUGCUUAAUAUUAGCCUCCUGCUGAAUGCUGCCUCCUUCCUAAUCAAGCCCCCACCCU
Vicugna pacos (alpaca) is the source of this 418-nucleotide non-coding RNA. Lineage: Eukaryota; Metazoa; Chordata; Mammalia; Artiodactyla; Camelidae. The record is from RefSeq and is a predicted model, not a curated record.